UGUUCUACAGUGAGUUCUGAGUAUCCUGCACCGCCCUCGAGGACCUGCAGGGGGCGCGCGAAGCCAGCGUGUCUUAGGUGGCGGUGCGCAUACGCAGUCCGCGUCAGCAGCCAGCAUCUUCCCUGGGGGCGGAGCUUGUUUUCCUCAGGACUGAGCGGGCGGCGCCAAGGAGGCUCCAGGACAGCGCUGCCUGCGUGUCCGCGGGAGGAGGACGCUCCCCGCCCACUGUCUGAAGUUACGCCGGUUUCCCACUGCCUGCGCCCGCUUCCUGCCGGGGUGUGUGUGGACCUGACCGAGCUGGGGCCCCGGCCGGCUGGGCAGGAGGGGACGGGUGCGCUGGCGGGCCCGCUUCGACUAUUCUCCUCGCCCGCAGGGAGCCGAUUGAAUCUGACUGAGACAUAACUUCGAUGAGAUCACACUGCUAUUAAACCUGCCCCAGAUACAUAUGCACUGGCUUGAGGACCAGCAUAUUGAAGGAACUUGAAAACGGAAGACCACCACCACCCUACUGCCCUCUUCAACAGAAAAGCAAUGGGACUGGUUCCUGACAUUGUGCCCUGUGGAGCUGUCAUUACAGCUUAAUCACUCCACUCACCAGAGAACUCGACAUAUCACAUCACACGUCUUAAGACUAUUUAGGAUGAUGGCACACAUUCCAAGCCAACUUUAUGAUUUCCUUUUUGGUGAUCUCCUCCUGUUGAAAAGUAAAAUGUCCUCCCAAAGGUUGUUUUCUGACGUUGGUUAUUUUAAGUGUCCCCUAUCAGAUUGCCAUUCUCCCCUCUCUUUUCUCAUGUUCUCCUCUGAAUGGAUAUCCAUCCCUUUGUCAUCAUUUUGUCUAGUUUUCUGAUAUCCUAAGCAUUCUCUUAAUUUCCAGUUCCACCUCCUGUAUACAAGGAACAUUAUUCUGGAAGACACUUCCCUGAAACCUGAGUUUCAACAGAAACUUGGGGGCAAGGGUUCUGCCCAUACAGUGAGAACAAGCAAUUAUAACCUUAAGAGAGUAUGGGAAUUCUGAUGUCACUACUCCGUGAUUCUUUAUUUUCAGUCAAUAAAUAACAUGUACCUCUGAUGAUGGCUGUAUGGUCAGGCAACUCAAGAUGGCUUCUCUCUAUACAUCUCCUGCUUGACUGGUGCCUGCUUCACCUACACACAACUCAUAAGACUGAUCUUCCUUCAUAUUCACCCCAGGCCCCAGCUAAUGACUGUUCUAGAUUUAGAUCAGAACUCACCACUAUGCUUAUCCAAGGGGUGGUGAGAAGCAUGACCCUGUGCUGAUUACCCUCGUAACCAAUGAGCCAACCUGACAUCAACUCCCCUAUGACUGGUAACCACUUCUUCCCCACCAGGAGCAAAGACUGCCAUCAUGUCCUGCCCUCCAGCUCCCACACAUGGCAGGAUGUUGCUCCAGGACUUUGCUUCAGAUGUGUAAGAUCACCCUAAUCAUUAAACUAUUGAUUAUCUCUGUUGCUGACUCUGGGAUCUUUCUCAGGUCUUGAAGCUGGGCAAGUACAGGGCUUGUAGACCUGCAGGGUGCAGUCCAGUGCUGACAUAGCUAAUUAAUACCCUCACAUAAAACACUUCAUUUAUAUAAACAUAAUGUAACUAGUAGCCAAAUUGGGUUCAAAAGAAUGGAAAUACAUGGAGAUCAGAAGCAACCUUAGCUCUAGGGUCCUCAGAAAGCCCAGAUUCAAUGGGAUAUCAUGGUACAGCACAAGGCUUGUGGGGAGAAAUGAAUAGCAGGCACAGCUUUGCCCAUCUCUUAUCUAAUUCUCAAUAGUUCCUUCUGCUAUUGGACCAACCUGGGAUGUGUCUAUGUCCAUUCAAAUACUAUCCCUUUCUGAAAAUCUUAUGAAAAUUUCAGUGCACAUCAUGUUAAUUAUGAUGUUUCACUCAUGAUGCCACUUAAACUUAUCAUCAUCUUGCAUUGUUUCAAAAUAUUGAAUGUAUGUAAUUACUCUAAUUAUUUAUGUUGCCUUAUUUUAGUUGUGAUGGUUAUAUAUUUUUCCAGGUUUAUUUUCUUCUCUUGUAAAACUGUGCUCAAGCAAAGUAGAUCUACCCAAUGUUUCACAAUGAUACCCUGUACAUUUUGCCUUCCCAAAAUGUCACUUUAAAUAUUCUAUUUGAAGAGUUUUCUCUCUCUUCUCA
Molecule: long non-coding RNA, 2145 nt
Organism: Camelus dromedarius (Arabian camel)
Lineage: Eukaryota; Metazoa; Chordata; Mammalia; Artiodactyla; Camelidae
Exons: 3
Source: RefSeq, a predicted model, not a curated record